UACGUAGGGUGCAAGCGUUAAUCGGAAUUACUGGGCGUAAAGCGUGUGCUGGCGGUUUUGUAAGUCUGUCGUGAAAGCCCCGGGCUCAACCUGGGAAUUGCGAUGGAGACUGCAAGGCUUGAAUCUGGCAGAGGGGGGUAGAAUUCCACGUGUAGCAGUGAAAUGCGUAGAGAUGUGGAGGAACACCGAUGGCGAAGGCAGCCCCCUGGGUCAAGAUUGACGCUCAUGCACGAAAGCGUGGGGAGCAAACAGG
RNAcentral lists this ribosomal RNA (253 nucleotides) under uncultured bacterium. RNAcentral's name for it is "partial 16S ribosomal RNA". It matches the Rfam family "Bacterial small subunit ribosomal RNA", at positions 524 to 776 of the family's 1533-position model. The record is from RNAcentral.